GGGAUGUAGCUCAGCUGGUAAAGUGGUUGCUUAGCCUUCAUAAGGCCCUGGGUUCAAUCCCCAGCCCCA
RNAcentral lists this transfer RNA (69 nucleotides) under Marmota monax (woodchuck). Its description in RNAcentral is "tRNA.Ala". Lineage: Eukaryota; Metazoa; Chordata; Mammalia; Rodentia; Sciuridae. The record is from RNAcentral.